RNAcentral lists this long non-coding RNA (477 nucleotides) under Ananas comosus (pineapple). Its description in RNAcentral is "long non-coding RNA (ACOM_LNC006026)". Lineage: Eukaryota; Viridiplantae; Streptophyta; Magnoliopsida; Poales; Bromeliaceae. The record is from RNAcentral.
ACUUGCUUCAUGAUUGAAAUAAGAAUAAAAAAUAAAAUUAGAUUACCUCUGAAUGAAAAAUAUAAUGACGAAUCCUACAAAAAUGUUUAGUUCAUUAUUAUUGGAAUGAAAACUAAAAUGAAAAUCUAAAAUUUUGAGGGAGGGUUUUGAUUAAGAGAGAGAGAAGAGUAAUGGAGGGAGGAAAAGGGGAGAUGUUUGUGAGAGAUGAUUUUGAAUAGUUUAUUUUGAAAUAGGCCAAUCGAAGAUUCGAAGCUUCAUUGGACUAUAAAUAAAUUUGAUCAUUUUCAUUCUAGAGUGAAAUAGAAAUCCGAAUCUGAUUCAUGUAAAACAAACAACAGUUAUCGAAAUCAAUAAAUUUUAUUCUAAUAACAUAGUUUAAAAUAGAUGAAUCAAAUAUGUCCUUGAUUAAAAAAAAGUCAAAUAACAAAGCCGACAAGUCGUAAAGGGUUAGAUUAAAUUAGAUUUAAUUUAGGUUGA